UACGGAGGGUGCAAACGUUGCUCGGAAUCAUUGGGCGUAAAGCGCACGUAGGCGGCGCAGCAAGUCGGGUGUGAAAUCCCUCGGCUCAACCGAGGAAGUGCAUUCGAAACUACUGUGCUUGAGUACUGAAGAGGGUCGCGGAAUUCCCGGUGUAGAGGUGAAAUUCGUAGAUAUCGGGAGGAACACCAGUGGCGAAGGCGGCGACCUGGGCAGAUACUGACGCUGAGGUGCGAAAGCGUGGGGAGCAAAC
Molecule: ribosomal RNA, 250 nt
Filed under: uncultured bacterium
Lineage: Bacteria
Description: partial 16S ribosomal RNA
Rfam family: Bacterial small subunit ribosomal RNA
Source: RNAcentral